This 355-nucleotide unclassified non-coding RNA is filed under the name soil metagenome. RNAcentral's name for it is "partial contains 5.8S ribosomal RNA, internal transcribed spacer 2, and large subunit ribosomal RNA". The stretch from base 1 to 120 matches the Rfam family "5.8S ribosomal RNA", at positions 35 to 154 of the family's 154-position model. The record is from RNAcentral.
GAUGAAGAACGUAGCGAAAUGCGAUAAGUAAUGUGAAUUGUAGAAUUCAGUGAAUCAUCGAAUCUUUGAACGCACAUUGCGCCCAUUAGUAUUCUAGUGGGCAUGCCUGUUCGAGCGUCAUUAAGUCCACUUAAGCCCUGCUUAGUGUUGGGAGACUGCUCCAGCGGUGCUACCCUGUAGCUACCCUGCAGCUCCUCAAAGACAGCGGCGGAGUUGUGGUAUCCUCUGAGCUUAGUAACUUGUUCUAGCUUUCGAGUACACCACUUCCCCUGCCGUAAAACCCUUAAUUUUUAAUGGUUGACCUCGGAUCAGGUAGGAAUACCCGCUGAACUUAAGCAUAUCAAUAAGCGGAGGA